RNAcentral lists this long non-coding RNA (925 nucleotides) under Vulpes vulpes (red fox). Its description in RNAcentral is "lncRNA (ENSVVUG00000024812.1)". The record is from RNAcentral. Lineage: Eukaryota; Metazoa; Chordata; Mammalia; Carnivora; Canidae.
AUGGUCAGGAAAGAAAAGAAAGUUUCCGCAGACUAUUCCAAAACAUUGUAUUUUUUACAGAAGAGCCUCAGAAGCUGCUGCCUUCAGUGUAACCAGAGUUCAGACAGUGAUUCUCAUCAUUUUGAGCAGGUAGAAAUGAUCACCAAGCCUGAUGAAUGGAUUAUUCUCUACAUCUGUUGGUGUGUUGCUGUUCGAUCUUGGAUUCCACUGCUAAAUAAGGUACUAAAUUCCUGCUGAUGAAUCACCAGAUGAAUUUCAUCGACUUCUCAAGACAGACUUAUAAGCUCUCUUACGCCAUUGUGUAUUAUCGUGAACUAUGAAGACAGAAAAUGCCUAUUCCAGUCUCUGCCCCUUGCACACUUGGAACCAUGUAUGUGUGGUUGGUAGGGCUUCAGAGCUCCAUGAAUGGGAGAGUCCAUCUCACUUCCACAGCCUCAUCAUUAGUCCAGACACCCCUAACCCAGUGUUGAAGACUGAAAAAGGUUCCUAGGUAUGUCCAUGCUCUAACUCAGGGAAUGAACCUGUGCCUCUAACCUUAUAUAGAAAAAGGGACUUCGUAGAUGUGAUUGAAUUAAUUAGGAGAUUAUCCUGGAUUAUCAACGUGAGCCCAUCGUAAUCACUGGUCCUUCAGAGGAAUGCAAGAAACAGAGAAGGUGUGGGGGGAUGGGGAGAAUGCCACAUGGUGAUGACAGAAGCAGAGUCCGGAAUGAUGUGCUCUGAAGAUUGAGGAAGGGACAACAACCCAAGGAAUACAAGUGACCUCUAAAAGCUGAAAAAUCAAGGAAAUGGAUUCUUCCUCAGAGCCUCCAGAAGGAACCAGCCUGGCUGACACCUUGACUUUAGCCCAGUGAAAUUGAUUUAAGAUUUAUGACCUCCAGACCCAUAAGAGAAUAAAUUUAUAUUGUUUUAAGUGACUUGACUUGUG